Molecule: ribosomal RNA, 200 nt
Filed under: uncultured prokaryote
Description: partial 16S ribosomal RNA
Rfam family: Bacterial small subunit ribosomal RNA
Source: RNAcentral
CGUCAAAUCAUCAUGCCCCUUAUGCUCUGGGCUACACACGUGUUACAAUGGCCGGUACAACGAGUCGCCAAUCAGUGAUGAUGCGCAAAUCUCUUAAAACCGGUCUCAGUUCGGAUCGUAGUCUGCAACUCGACUACGUGAAGUCGGAAUCGCUAGUAAACGCAGAUCAGCACGCUGCGUUGAAUACGUUCCCGGGUCUU